This 406-nucleotide ribosomal RNA is filed under the name uncultured bacterium. Its description in RNAcentral is "bacterial SSU rRNA". It matches the Rfam family "Bacterial small subunit ribosomal RNA", at positions 29 to 418 of the family's 1533-position model. The record is from RNAcentral.
AACGAACGCUGGCGGCGUGCCUAACACAUGCAAGUCGUGCGAGAAAGUUCCUUCGGGAGCGAGUAAAGCGGCGCACGGGUGAGUAACACGUAGGUAACCUGCCCCCAAGUCUGGAACAACUGGAGGAAACUCCAGCUAAUGCCGGAUGAGACCACGAUCCCCUCGGGGGUUGUGGCCAAAGAUGGCCUCUGCUUGCAAGCUAUCGCUCGGGGAUGGGCCUGCGGGCCAUUAGCUAGUUGGUGAGGUAACGGCUCACCAAGGCAGUGAUGGCUAGCUGGUCUGAGAGGAUGACCAGCCACACUGGGACUGAGACACGGCCCAGACUCCUACGGGAGGCAGCAGUGGGGAAUAUUGCGCAAUGGGCGAAAGCCUGACGCAGCGACGCCGCGUGGGUGAUGAAGGCCUU